RNAcentral lists this long non-coding RNA (168 nucleotides) under Ictidomys tridecemlineatus (thirteen-lined ground squirrel). Its description in RNAcentral is "lncRNA (ENSSTOG00000029302.1)". The record is from RNAcentral. Lineage: Eukaryota; Metazoa; Chordata; Mammalia; Rodentia; Sciuridae.
CCGCUUCCACCCCGCAGAGGCGGGCGCUGGCUGAAAGCGGACGCAGAAACCUUGCCGGGGAGCCCAGCCAAGCGCUGUGUUUUUCCAGGUCUGCGCAGGCCAGGGGAGCCCUGCGUGUUUGCUUGAUUCAGUCAUCAGAAGCCUAUCAGACGUGCUUGGACUCAGCCC